This is a long non-coding RNA of Bactrocera neohumeralis, 443 nucleotides long. RefSeq lists it as uncharacterized. NCBI's taxonomy places the organism in Eukaryota, Metazoa, Arthropoda, Insecta, Diptera, Tephritidae. The record is from RefSeq and is a predicted model, not a curated record. The transcript is spliced from 3 exons.
UCGGACCGACAUUGAAAACAUUUUGAAAACACAUUUGUAUGUUGUGGAACGUAAGUCGUUCGGACCGACAAUUUGUGUUUUCGCUGAGUUUUCACUGACAGUUCACAAAUUUAUUUGUUUGUUUACAUUUGAGCAACGAGAAUGAUUUCUGAGAAAAAGAUGUUAAUUGCGAAAGCAUUGGCUUUGAGAAGCCAAAUAAAUAUCCUGCUCAUCGACAAUUCUUCAAGAGAACUAUUGGAAUGUCUUACUUCUCAGCACCAUGCCUUGACAAAAGAGAUAGCCGAGUUAAAGAAACAAUAUCUAAUCGUAUUAGAUUUAAUAAAGGACCUUGGGAUGCCGAUUAAUUCAUGUUGGACAAAACAACGUAAGAAUCAGUUUUGGGAACACGAUUGCCAACGAAACGGUUGUGCUUUUUUUAAAGAGAACUUUCGCAUGAACAGAAG